Molecule: unclassified non-coding RNA, 315 nt
Filed under: uncultured Funneliformis
Lineage: Eukaryota; Fungi; Glomeromycota; Glomeromycetes; Glomerales; Glomeraceae
Description: sequence contains ITS2
Rfam family: 5.8S ribosomal RNA (bases 1-52)
Source: RNAcentral
AACGCAAAUUGCACUCCCUGGUAUUCCGGGGAGUAUGCCUGUUUGAGGGUCGUUAGAAUAAAAAUCGAGGCGUCGCUCUUUUUUUUAGGGUGAUCGCGUCGGAAUUGAGCCGUCUUUCAAAUGUUAAUUCAUGUUAAAGUGGCUUAAAAUUCAUCCAUCCGGUACGAUUAAAGCGUAUUUAAGAUCAAUUUUGAUUAAGAACGCGCGAUGACGUACCAUCUCAUGUAGUACGUUUGACCUGGCGUCGUCAGGAUCAUUCGUAUACGAUACUCAACUUUUGACCUCAAAUCAGGUAAGAAUACCCGCUGAACUUAA